AUUAUCUUCUCAAGACA
This 17-nucleotide transfer RNA is filed under the name Mus musculus musculus (eastern European house mouse). RNAcentral describes it as "partial tRNA-Thr". Lineage: Eukaryota; Metazoa; Chordata; Mammalia; Rodentia; Muridae. The record is from RNAcentral.